RNAcentral lists this ribosomal RNA (274 nucleotides) under uncultured bacterium. RNAcentral describes it as "partial 16S ribosomal RNA". It matches the Rfam family "Bacterial small subunit ribosomal RNA", at positions 523 to 796 of the family's 1533-position model. The record is from RNAcentral.
AUACGGAGGGUGCAAGCGUUAUUCGGAAUCACUGGGCGUAAAGGACGCGUAGGCGGGUUGGCAAGUCAGAUGUGAAAUCCUACAGCUUAACUGUAGAACUGCAUUUGAAACUGCUAACCUAGAGUAUGGGAGGGGGAGAUGGAAUUAGUGGUGUAGGGGUAAAAUCCGUAGAUAUCACUAGGAAUACCGAAAGCGAAGGCGAUUUCCUGGAACAUAACUGACGCUAAGGCGUGAAAGCGUGGGGAGCAAACAGGAUUAGAAACCCCAGUAGUCC